Long non-coding RNA from Myotis lucifugus (little brown bat), 943 nucleotides. RefSeq lists it as uncharacterized. NCBI's taxonomy places the organism in Eukaryota, Metazoa, Chordata, Mammalia, Chiroptera, Vespertilionidae. The transcript has 3 exons. The record is from RefSeq and is a predicted model, not a curated record.
AGGUUUUAUUGACGACAUGAGGAAAAAACUAAGAAGUUCAAACUAGAAGUUCAGAAAAUCUGACCUUGAAUUUAAAUUUUCCAUGACAAAGCUCCCCAACUGCUCAGUUACUUACAUGAGGUCCUGGAAAGCCCAGCUCCUGGGUUUAGAUGCAGAUUCUCUGGCCAUUGAGCACAUCCAGGUGAGCAAAGCUCCCAAGAUGUGGCGAAGAACUUCGCGAGCUCAUGGGCGGACUAACCCAUGCACGAGCUCUCCCCCAUACUGAGGUGACCCUUUCUGAAAAAGAGCAGAUUGUUCCUAAACCAGAAGAGGAGGUUACACAGAAGGAAAAAGAUAUCCCAGAAGAAACAAAAAACUUAUGGCAUAAAAUAAAUAUUAAUAAAAGUUUAAAAAAAAAGGAAUAUAAUGAUUGUGAGCUGAGAUUGGUUUCAUCCACAUACACAGUGUCAGGUCAAACACAUACCUAUGGAUUCAACAAGCAUUUGGUGAAUGGGCGAAGAAUAAAUGAAUGAAUGAAUGAAUGAAAGAAAUACCUGAGGCUGCCUUGAUUCCUUCAGAGUUCUGGUGCAGGGUGACCAGGAUGUGGGCUGGGGGCCAGAUGAGCCAUCCAGAAAGAGGUCUGUCUUAUGGUCAGGUUUUUAAAUUCGUUGCAAAAAAGCAGAAGCAGAUACCUGCCUUUUGUGGGUCAGCGUUUGCUCCGCCUUGGAGUUCUGUGUGCAGGAGAUAGCGUGACCUUUAUUUCCCCUGUAUCUGAUCAAAGAGGCUUUCUGGUGAAUGUUCAAAGGACACAGAGACAAUAAACAUAUGUCUGGCCUCAGCAGGGAGGGGUUUCGGGUUGGAUCCUUUUCUCCAGUGUUAGUAGCGCCUGUGAUGGGGAAGGCACCACUACACCUUUGCCAAGUUUGAAGCCCCUCAUGUCGGGGUGCACCAGGCAGAGCCCUUG